GGGGCUGCCCUGGUUUCGACGUGGGUUCGGAAUCGGCGUGGUGCAUGUCGAGCUUGAUUGGCGCUCGUAAAUCUGCAUUCAAAAAACUAACUGCAAACG
Molecule: transfer-messenger RNA, 99 nt
Filed under: Giesbergeria sp.
Lineage: Bacteria; Pseudomonadati; Pseudomonadota; Betaproteobacteria; Burkholderiales; Comamonadaceae
Description: partial transfer-messenger RNA
Rfam family: transfer-messenger RNA
About the family: Bacterial tmRNA, also known as 10Sa RNA or SsrA, is named for its dual tRNA and mRNA-like properties. Its role is to liberate the mRNA from a stalled ribosome.
Source: RNAcentral